Molecule: long non-coding RNA, 873 nt
Organism: Cyprinus carpio (common carp)
Lineage: Eukaryota; Metazoa; Chordata; Actinopteri; Cypriniformes; Cyprinidae
Source: Ensembl
GUUAGUACCUAUUACACAGUUAUUGUAAUUGGUAUAAUAAGUAAAUAGUAAGUACUCAUGGAACAGUAAUGUAAAAUAAAGUGCAACCUUUUUUCUUUUUUAGUUUUUAGAGUUUAACUUGCACUAAAUACAGAAUAUUAUUUUAAUUCUGAGGAAGUAAAAGGUUUCUGUGAGUUCACACAGGAAGACAAACUGUUUAAACUGUUUCAGAGGAAGUACAGACUGAACUGGGGUCUUGAAUCAACACAUCCAACCCUGAUGUUCACCAGAAGUUCAUGAUAAUGUGGACCCAGAUUAUAAAAGGUAGGCUUUUUUAAUUAUACAGCUGUCUGGAUAUGUCAAAUAAUCAAAACUUGGAGUUCUUGAAUAGGAUAAAAGCUUUCUCAAAUGUUUCAUGCUGACAAUGCAGAAAACUGCUCCAAUACUUAAAGUAAUAGUAACAUCAUCUGUUUCUCUCAGACUGACCUGCAUUUAAAGGGUUACAUAAGGGUACAAAAGGUCAUGUGAAGAGCUUUUGAGUAUUAAAGAGGAUGGAAUGUCCAACUCAAGGAUGAAGUGUCUUGUUCAAACUGUGUCCAGGAGAGGACGAUGUAUGCUACAAGGUGAGUUUCUGUACUGCUGGAAAAAUCCCAGAGGCACCAGUUUACGAGCCUGUAUGAGAGUACGGCAAUGAAAACUUGAUGACAGUUUGGAAAUGAGAUAUUAUGAGGCAGGAUUCCGGCUUUCACCUUUCCUGUACUACUGACUUGUCUUAUGACUGGACACAAAGAACAAUGGAGUAAGGAGGUGAGCAGAGGAAGGAGGGAGGACAGAAAGAAGGAAAGAGGAGGGAACAAGCAGGUCGUGGAGUAUGUAAGGUCAGCAGAGUCAGGU